Molecule: ribosomal RNA, 700 nt
Filed under: uncultured bacterium
Lineage: Bacteria
Description: bacterial SSU rRNA
Rfam family: Bacterial small subunit ribosomal RNA
Source: RNAcentral
UCAGGCCUAACACAUGCAAGUCGAGCGGUAGCGGGAAGAGCUUGCUCUUUGCCGACGAGCGGCGGACGGGUGCGUAACACGUAGGAAUCUGCCUGGUAGUGGGGGAUAGCCCGGAGAAAUCCGGAUUAAUACCGCAUACGCCCUACGGGGGAAAGGAGGGGACUCUUCGGAGCCUUUCGCUAUCAGAUGAGCCUGCGUCGGAUUAGCUUGUUGGUGGGGUAAAGGCCUACCAAGGCGACGAUCCGUAGCUGGUCUGAGAGGAUGAUCAGCCACACUGGGACUGAGACACGGCCCAGACUCCUACGGGAGGCAGCAGUGGGGAAUAAUGCACAAUGGGCGAAAGCCUGAUGCAGCCAUGCCGCGUGUGUGAAGAAGGCCCUAGGGUUGUAAAGCACUUUCAGUGGGGAGGAAAGGUUGAAGGUUAAUACCCUUCAGCUGUGACGUUACCCACAGAAGAAGCACCGGCUAACUCCGUGCCAGCAGCCGCGGUAAUACGGAGGGUGCGAGCGUUAAUCGGAAUUACUGGGCGUAAGGCGUGCGUAGGCGGCCACCUAAGUUGGAUGUGAAAGCCCCGGGCUCAACCUGGGAACUGCAUCCAAAACUGGGUGGCUAGAGUACGGGAGAGGAGUGUGGAAUUUCCUGUGUAGCGGUGAAAUGCGUAGACAUAGGAAGGAACACCAGUGGCGAAGGCGACACUCUG